GACGUAGGGGGCCAGCGUUGUUCGGAAUUACUGGGUGUAAAGGGUUCGUAGGCGGUGUGGCAAGUCGGGAGUGAAAUUUCUGGGCUUAACUCAGAACCUGCUUCCGAAACUGCUGUGCUGGAGUGUGGGAGAGGCGCGUGGAAUUGCAGGUGUAGCGGUGAAAUGCGUAGAUAUCUGCAGGAACACCCGUGGCGAAAGCGGCGCGCUGGACCACUACUGACGCUGAGGAACGAAAGCUAGGGGAGCAACAGG
Molecule: ribosomal RNA, 252 nt
Filed under: uncultured Acidobacteriota bacterium
Lineage: Bacteria; Pseudomonadati; Acidobacteriota
Description: uncultured Acidobacteria bacterium partial 16S ribosomal RNA
Rfam family: Bacterial small subunit ribosomal RNA
Source: RNAcentral